UACGUAGGGGGCGAGCGUUGUCCGGAAUUAUUGGGCGUAAAGAGCGUGUAGGCGGUUCGGUAAGUCUGCCGUGAAGACCUGGGGCUCAACCCCGGGCGUGCGGUGGAUACUGCCGGGCUAGAGGGUGGUAGAGGCGAGUGGAAUUCCCGGUGUAGCGGUGAAAUGCGCAGAUAUCGGGAGGAACACCAGUAGCGAAGGCGGCUCGCUGGGCCAUUCCUGACGCUGAGGCGCGAAAGCUAGGGGAGCGAACAGG
This 253-nucleotide ribosomal RNA is filed under the name uncultured bacterium. RNAcentral describes it as "partial 16S ribosomal RNA". It matches the Rfam family "Bacterial small subunit ribosomal RNA", at positions 524 to 776 of the family's 1533-position model. The record is from RNAcentral.